RNAcentral lists this ribosomal RNA (468 nucleotides) under uncultured bacterium. RNAcentral's name for it is "partial 16S ribosomal RNA". It matches the Rfam family "Bacterial small subunit ribosomal RNA", at positions 28 to 507 of the family's 1533-position model. The record is from RNAcentral.
GACGAACGCUGGCGGCGUGCUUAACACAUGCAAGUCGAACGGAAAGGCCCUGCUUUUGUGGGGUGCUCGAGUGGCGAACGGGUGAGUAACACGUGAGUAACCUGCCCUUGACUUUGGGAUAACUUCAGGAAACUGGGGCUAAUACCGGAUAGGAGCUCCUGCUGCAUGGUGGGGGUUGGAAAGUUUCGGCGGUUGGGGAUGGACUCGCGGCUUAUCAGCUUGUUGGUGGGGUAGUGGCUUACCAAGGCUUUGACGGGUAGCCGGCCUGAGAGGGUGACCGGCCACAUUGGGACUGAGAUACGGCACAGACUCCUACGGGACGCAGAAGUGGGGAAUAUUGCACAAUGGGCGGAAGCCUGAUGCAGCAACGCCGCGUGGGGGAUGACGGCCUUCGGGUUGUAAACCGCUUUCGCCUGUGACGAAGCGUGAGUGACGGUAAUGGGUAAAGAAGCACCGGCUAACUACGUG